GUUUUCGUCCGGGACAAAGGUCCCUCGCGGCGCCGGUGACGGCCGGCUGCGGUGUCCGCGUCCCGCGGGCCACUCCGCGGUGCGGCGGGGCGGCUGAUGGAGGGACGCGGAGCCCCGGCGGGCAGGAGCGCGGGCGCGGCUCGUCCCGGAGAGGCGCACGCGGCGAAGAGUUGCGGGAGCUCGGCGGUGUGCGGACGGGGAUGCGUGGAAGUCGCUGAGACGGCCCGCACGGUGGCCCGACAGGCUGCUCCCGCAAGGGCAGGGCUGCGGAGCCGCGCGCCCCGGUCGCGGCCGGCUGCGGGGCGAAGGCGGAGGGCGGUAUUAACACAGCUGUGGUGCCCCAGCCGGUGGCCAGGUCCUGGCACUCUGUGGAUGCUGUGAGCCGAACAGCCACAUUCCAGAAGGCGGCCAUGGCCUGAAGCAUCCCCAGAACUACGGGACCUGAUGUGGACUUGAAACCUCAGCCCUGGCACUUCACGGCUCAGGUGCAGGUUGUAGGAAGAGCCUCUGGUUCUGGCUGGCAAGGUCCCGGACCCCAGCCAGGUGGCGAGUGGCCCUGAGGAGGGGCGUCUGGCCGCACCAGCCUGCCUGGAGGUACGCCGUGGCUCCGAGAGCCUUGUUGUGGGGAACAGAAACUGUGGAAGGUUUGUGG
Molecule: long non-coding RNA, 652 nt
Organism: Ochotona curzoniae (black-lipped pika)
Lineage: Eukaryota; Metazoa; Chordata; Mammalia; Lagomorpha; Ochotonidae
Exons: 5
Source: RefSeq, a predicted model, not a curated record